GUAGUACUCCCCCCGUCCGCAAAUCCUUGUCAUCAAAAUGAGUAAAAGGAGAUGUAUCUAGACGUAUUUUAGUUGUAGAUACAUCAUUUUUUAUUCAUAUUGAUGAUAAGUAUUUUUGAACGGAGGGAGUAUUAU
Molecule: non-coding RNA, 135 nt
Organism: Triticum aestivum (bread wheat)
Lineage: Eukaryota; Viridiplantae; Streptophyta; Magnoliopsida; Poales; Poaceae
Source: Rfam